RNAcentral lists this ribosomal RNA (435 nucleotides) under Triticum aestivum (bread wheat). Its description in RNAcentral is "partial small subunit ribosomal RNA". Lineage: Eukaryota; Viridiplantae; Streptophyta; Magnoliopsida; Poales; Poaceae. The record is from RNAcentral.
AGGUGGGUUCCACCACCAACGGGAGUGGCAAAGAUUAGAGUGGAUGGGGCGGUCGCAAGGAGCAGUUUGGAAGGUUCUUUCAGCGCCGUUUGUAGAGAUUCUAGUGGCCUCUUCUUAGGCGCUUCGGUUGUUAAGGUUCCAAGGAUCGUGGAUCCUGCUACUCUGGAAGCACUAGCAUGUCGGGAAGCGCUUUCACUUGCUUCAGACCUAUAUCUAUCAUGUAUAAUCAUUGCUUCCGACUGUCAGGGCGUGGUAUAUGAUAUCAACCAGGGGACAGGAGGAGUAUAUACGAGCAUUGUCAAGGAAAUAACAGAGACUGGAAGGAAUUUUGACCAUCGUGCCUUCACCUUCGAUGGUAGAUCAACACAUCUUGAGACGCACAACCUCGUAAGUACCCUUUUGGUCUUGAUUAUGGGCGCCAUUUGUGGCUUAUAA